AACUAUAGUAGUAGUAAUGUCUAUACUAUAUUGUUUGUAAUAGUAAUAAUAUUUGCAGUAAUCACUAAAUUUUAACUAAUACUAUUCAAACACACAGGGCAUGGAUAGGGCUGGGCCAGGGACAAGGUCAGGCCAGGAAGGGGCCAGGGCCAAGGCAGGGCCAUUCUGAUUUGCCCUGCCCCAACGUUGGCCCAGCCCUGCUCUGGCAUUUCCUGUCAUGCCCUGUCCCUGGCCUGAGCAUUGGCCCUGGCCCUGUCCUGCUUCUGGCCCUGCCCCGGAGUUGACCAGUGGCCCUGCACUGGUCCUGCCCUGCCCUGGCACUGCCUUGGCCCCGGCCCUGCCUUCUCCCUGGUCUUGCCUUUGCCCUGCCCUGGCCUGACCCCAGGCCUACCGAGUCCAUGAAAUGGCCCUGGACCUGCCUUGCCAUCCUCUGUCCUGGUCCUUUAUUGUCCCCACCAUGCUCUGGUCCAGUGCUUGCCCUGGCCCUGUUGCUAGUCCUGCCACUGUUAUGGCCCUGCCCUGUUUUUGGCCAUGCCCUGUGCUACCCUAGCCCUGCCCUGCCUUGGCCUUGGCCCUACCAUGGCCUUCUCCUACCCUGGCCUGGCCCUACACUGGCCUUUUCUACCCUGGCCUUGCCCUUCCCUGAUCUUGCCUUGCCCUGGCCUUGCCCUGCCCUGGCCUUGGCUUUGCCUUAUCCUGGUCCUGGUUCUGCCCUGACCCUGGCCUUGCUCUGGAUCCUCUCUGGUUCUGCUUUCUCCCUGGCCCUGCCCUUGCUCUGGCCCUGUCCCUGGCCCAGCCUUGACCCUGACCCUGGCCCUGACAAUCCCCAGGUCUGACACUGGCCAUGCUUGGCCCUGGCCCCUCCUUUUGGCCCUGCCCUGGCCCUGCCUUGGCCCUGUGCUAUCUUAGUCCUGCCCUGGCCCUGAACUCACCCUGGCCCUACCCUCACCCUACACUGGCCCUGCCCU
Molecule: long non-coding RNA, 968 nt
Filed under: Pan troglodytes (chimpanzee)
Lineage: Eukaryota; Metazoa; Chordata; Mammalia; Primates; Hominidae
Description: long non-coding RNA NONPTRT010583
Source: RNAcentral